GGGCUAGAAUGGAGAAUUUUUGUUCUGAAAGCUGUGAGCAAUCAGAGGCCCCAGUGUGGGGCUCGUUUCUGCACCUGGAGGGUAGCUGCACAAAAUCAUCAGGUGCAAAUUCAUCUCAGCUGGGGAGCACACCGAGAACAGUGCCUUUGCUAAUAUAUAGAGGUAAGAGACGGCUGUUCUUCUUGAUAUGAGUGUGCUAGUCUUCUCCUGACCUGCCUUGAGCUCUGCUACAUUGUUACCUGAAAUGGACCAACUGUCCCUUCAUGGCUGUGGGUGGCAUGCUCUCCUUUUGUGUUGGAGUUGCUCUGGAGUAUAUGGUGAAUGUUUGCUUCUAUACCAGACCAAAGAAUUUUGAGAUGGAGAAUAAAGAAGGUACAUGAUUUCCUUAACUGUGAUGGAUUUGCAAGACAACUUUAUUGGGUCAGAAGGAGCUGGUGGAUGCCCUUUUCCAGCAAUAGUGAUGUCUUCCUUGGGCUCGUAGAACUGUGUACAAAAUGCAUUUUCACUUCAACAUCGCUAAGGUAGGAGCUGAGAAUGGGCUGUUUUUUCUUAUUGUUUAUUCAGCCAUCUUUUGUUUCUGAAGACCAGGUUCAGGAGCAAGGUACUGUGCAGUCAGUUACUCAGUUUGCUGAUGUUUGCUCUCGCCUUCCCAUGUGACUCAUUCCAAACACAUC
This is a non-coding RNA of Meleagris gallopavo (turkey), 674 nucleotides long. NCBI's taxonomy places the organism in Eukaryota, Metazoa, Chordata, Aves, Galliformes, Phasianidae. The record is from RefSeq and is a predicted model, not a curated record.